RNAcentral lists this small RNA (69 nucleotides) under Caenorhabditis brenneri. RNAcentral's name for it is "snoRNA CBN33976". It matches the Rfam family "Nematode sRNA ceN72-3_ceN74-2". The record is from Rfam by way of RNAcentral. Lineage: Eukaryota; Metazoa; Nematoda; Chromadorea; Rhabditida; Rhabditidae.
AACUGCGGUCCGGAGUGAAUGGGUUAUCAUUGAAGAGGAAGCCCCCAUUCACACCAACUUGACCGCUGU